CUACUUGUGAAUCGAAACUAUAUAUUUUGCUGAGCCCAUUUCGUCCUAUACUCUUUUAUAUCUUUUCUGUUCUUUUUAAUUUUUUUUAGAUUACUAAUAAUAUAUGCAAAGUUCAAAAAAGACGUUUUUAACUAGGGAGAUUGUUAAAAAUCUUUCGGUACAAAUCAAAAGGACAUUCUGAUCAAAAAAGUGCAAGAGAAUUUAUUAGUUUAUUGUGGAGGCAGUUCGAGAAAAGGUUAUCUUUCUUGCCAGUACACAUUUUAUGUCAGUUUUGACCAACGGAUCACAGGCGUGAAAAA
Molecule: long non-coding RNA, 299 nt
Organism: Hydractinia symbiolongicarpus
Lineage: Eukaryota; Metazoa; Cnidaria; Hydrozoa; Anthoathecata; Hydractiniidae
Exons: 3
Source: RefSeq, a predicted model, not a curated record